This is a long non-coding RNA of Schistocerca serialis cubense, 1457 nucleotides long. RefSeq lists it as uncharacterized. The transcript is spliced from 6 exons. The record is from RefSeq and is a predicted model, not a curated record. NCBI's taxonomy places the organism in Eukaryota, Metazoa, Arthropoda, Insecta, Orthoptera, Acrididae.
CGAAGGGUGACAGUAUCGCAGAACCAGCAGAUGCAUUCAAAACCAGUGUGAAUCUUGUCGCUCGUGUGGCCAACAGCAGAAUUUUACGUCUUUUUCAUGGCAGAUUGAAGGAUUUGUUGAGAAGUACAAGAAAAUGAAAGACAGGGCAGCCCUUUUGAAAGGCAGUUUACAUAAGUCCCCGUACAUUAAUACCAACAACUAAAAAUGUUGACAGUGAAUAGUGAACCUUUACUGCUGCAGGAUGGUGCACCACCUAGCCGCAUGAGCUUUCCUGGAUGACAAUUUUCCGGGGCAUUGUAUUGGAUGAAGAGGCCCAUGAAGUUCCCUCCACGGUCAUCAGAUCUAACAUCUAUGGACUUUUACUUGUGGGGAAGUGUGAAAGAUAACGUCUAUCAAAGGAAGCCACACAUGCUGAAGAAAGUGAUGACCUUUGAAAGAUGGUGGUGUGUUUUAACAGAUGAACUUGAUCUCUGCAUUCAGAGAUCUGUGGAGAACAAGUCCUUUGAAGCUGAAAACUCACCUUAGAACAUAUAGGCCGCCCGCUGUGGCCGAGCGGUUCUAGGCGCUUCAGUCCGGAACCACGCAGCUGCUAUGGUCGCAGGUUCGAAUCCUGCCUCAGGCGUGGAUGUGUGUGAUGUCCUUAGGUUAGUUAGGCUUAAGUAGUUCUAAGUCUAGGGGUCUGAUGACCUCAGAUGUCAAGUUCCAUAAUGCUUAGAGCCAUUUGAACCAUUUUUGAACAUGCAGUUAGCAAUUCAUUGUGAAGUAAAUUUGCAGAUUUGUUCCACAAACUUGAACCAUUUAGUUACGUAAAAGGCUUCAGUAAGGUCACAAAAUAUACCAGCAGGAUUAUUUUGGUUGUUUUUAGUUCUGCUAGGUUUUCAGUCAUAAGGGUAUAUGGUGGCUCCUACAUGUGAAACUCAAAAGUAUUUAGCAAAUUUUGUUUGAGUUAAGGACUGAUUAUGAAUACGGCUCAAGGUUAAUUGUAUCAACCUUUCACAAGAUUUUACUAAUCUGCUAGAAACACUGUCAUGGAAAAAUAUUGCUGCUUUUAGCAACUUGAUGGUAUUUUUAAUUCCCUUUGGUCUUGCAUAUUUGAUAUUAACGAUGUUUGGUGAUGUAAAAAGUAUUGAAUUAUCAAUUUCAUGGCUGAAAUGCCACAAUUAUUAAAAUAUUUCUGGCUAUUAUUCUGUGGUUUUUCCUGAUUGCUUUGAUGACUUGUGGCAUAUAAGUUCUUGUAUUCCAUUUGGAACUAAUUAAAGAAUGGAAACUCCAGGUAGGAAUAUCAACAAUUCAGAAAAAGGUAGAUUGCUACUCACUGUAAAGGAGACACGUUAAGUUGCAGACAGGCAUAAUUAAUAUGCAAGUUAAUGUUUCUUCUUUAUGGUAAGUAGCAAUUUGUUUUUUUCUGCAGCAUUAAUUGUUUGUAGAAUGCAAAGGUUACAAUAUUUACACUGUAA